This 843-nucleotide ribosomal RNA is filed under the name uncultured eukaryote. RNAcentral describes it as "eukaryotic LSU rRNA". The stretch from base 332 to 486 matches the Rfam family "5.8S ribosomal RNA". The record is from RNAcentral.
AAGUCGUAACAAGGUUUCCGUAGGUGAACUUGCGGAAGGAUCAUUACAAUACGUAACUCACGUAUCAACCAACUUGUUGAACUGUAAAGUGCGUCCGAUAGGAAAAGCCUUUGUUGUCGGGUGAUGGGAGACUGGCGGUUUUGAAGUUGUGCACUUCGGUCGGUCUUCUUUUGUUCUGAAAGGAGCAAGCCCGCGUUUUUCCUAGUUCGCGUAUUUCAUACACUUUUUUUAACCCCUUUCACCAAACCACAAAUUAAACAACUCAUUGAACUGAACUCGAGCGAUGCUGAAAAGCGUCUGUUUCGAUUCUAUUUUUACGAAACGUAAGAACAACUCUUAACAGCGGAUAUCUUGGCUCUCGUAACGAUGAAGAACGCAGCGAAAUGCGAUACGUAAUGCGAAUUGCAGAACUCAGUGAAUCAUCAAAUCUUUGAACGCAGAUUGCGCUUUCGGGAUAGGCCUGAAAGCACGCCUCUUUGAGUAUCGAUUCAACCUCUGCUCGACGGUGUUCUUACCUUGUGUGAGCAACGUGUAGUCGGCUGGUAGUGAGUUUCGCACCUGCAUGGGUGCGUGACUUGAAGUAUCGACAGUUUAGUCGUUCCUGCUGAGAACAACAUCUGUCGAAACACGCUGAGCAAUGCGGUCAGUUUCUGCCUGUUACAAGGCGAAUCGAUGCAUUGGUGCGGCGCGUUUCGGUGAGUUGUUCGCUUGAAGCAGUCGAACACGUAUUUCGGCUUGUUCGCAAGUGUUCUUGAAAUACGCCUGGUGACUAACCACUUUGAUAAAGAAUCUCAAUGAAGCGAGGAAACCCGCCGAACUUAAGCAUAUCAAUAAACCGGAGGA